AUUCAGCUGAUGAGUCGCGAAUAGGAUGAAACACGCGUUCUGAAU
Non-coding RNA from Schistosoma mansoni, 45 nucleotides. NCBI's taxonomy places the organism in Eukaryota, Metazoa, Platyhelminthes, Trematoda, Strigeidida, Schistosomatidae. The record is from Rfam.